Salvelinus fontinalis (brook trout) is the source of this 3767-nucleotide long non-coding RNA. RefSeq lists it as uncharacterized. The transcript has 2 exons. NCBI's taxonomy places the organism in Eukaryota, Metazoa, Chordata, Actinopteri, Salmoniformes, Salmonidae. The record is from RefSeq and is a predicted model, not a curated record.
CCCACAGGAGGGUAGCCAGAGAGGUGAACAUCAUGAGGAAGCUGGGUACCCACAAGAAUGUGCUGCAGCUGCUAGACUGGAACAUCACACAGGCGCCUUAUAUGUUGAUCCUGGAGUCGGUGAGCAGUGGGACCCUGCGCAGUUUCCUGCAAGUGAAUCAACAUCAACUGAGCAGGGAUGUAUUGUAUUUGUAUUUGCAUUGCAAUGUACCUUUUGUUUGUUUAUCGUGUCAGGUCUUUUAAGAACAAAGCCUCAGGUGAGAGUAUCUGAGAGAAUCUUCCUGUAGCAUCUGAUCUGUACCAUUUGUGUGUAGGUCCAUUCCAACAACAUAUCAGUCUGUUCCAUCACAACAUUGUGAUGUUAUCACAUCAAGAGUCGUGUCAUUACAGUAGUGCCACCAACAGGCUGUAUCAUACUGUAUCAUUGUGCCCAAUUUAACACAAUUCUUUAUAUACACUACCGUUCAAAAGUUUGGGGUCACUUAGAAAUGUCUGUUUUUGAAAGAAAAGCACUUUUUGUCCAUUAAAGUAACAUAAAAUUGAUAAGAUAUACAGUGUAGACAUUGUUAAUGUUGUAAAUGACUACUGUAGCUGGAAACGGCAGAUUUUUAUGUAAUAUCUACAUAGGCGUACAGAGGCCUAUUAUCAGCAACGUCAACAGUGAAGAGGCGACUCUGGGAUGCUGGCCUUCUAGACAGAGUUCCUCUGUCCAGUGUCUGUGUUCUUUUUGCCAUCUUAAUAUUUUCUUUUUAUUGGCCAGUCUGAAAUAUGGCUUUUUCUUUACAACUCUGCCUAGAAGGCCAGCAUCCCGGAGUCGCCUCUUCCCUGUUGACGUUGAGACUGGUGUUUUGCGGGUACUAUUUAAUGAAGCUGACAGUUGAGGACUUGAGGCGUCUUUCUCAAACUAGACACACUAAUGUACUUGUCCUCUUGCUCAGUUGUGCACCGGGGCCUCCCACUCUUUCUAUUCUGGUUAGAGCCAGUUUGCGCUGUUCUGUGAAGGGAGUAGUACACAGCAUUGUACGAGAUCUGGAAUAGCCUUCAUUUCUCAGAGCAAGAAUAGACUGACGAGUUUCAGAAAUAAGUUUUGUUUCUGGACAUUUUGAGCCUGUAAUCGAACCCACAAAUGCUGAUGCAAUAAAACUGGCCUUCUUUAGACUACUUGAGCUUCUUUAAUCAGAACAACAGUUUUCAGCUGUGCUAACAUCUUUGCAAAAGGGUUUUCUAAUGAUCAAUUAGCCUUUUAAAAUUAUAAACUUGGAUUAGCUAACACAACGUGCCAUUGGAACACAGGUGUGAUGGUUGCUGAUAAUGGGCCUCUGUACACCUAUGUAGAAAUUCCAUAAAAAAUCUGCCGUUUCCAGCUACAAGUCAUUGACAACAUUAACAAUGUCUACACUGUAUAUCUUAUCAAUUUGAUGCUAUUUUAAUGGACAAAAUAUGUGAUUUUCCUUCAGAAACAAUGACAUUUCUAAGUGACCCUAAACUUUUGAAUGGUAGCGUAUACAGUUGAAGUUGGAAGUUUACAUACACCUUAGCCAAACACAUUUAAACUCAGUCCUUGCUCGCACAAGCUUUUUCAGUUCUGCCCACAAAUUUUCUAUAGGAUUGAGGUCAGGGCUUUGUGAUGGCCACUCCAAUACCUUGACUUUGUUGUCCUUAAGCCAUUUUGCCACAACUUUGGAAGUAUGCUUGGGGUCAUUGUCCAUUUGGAAGACCCAUUUGCGACCAAGCUUUAACUUCCUGACUGAUGUCUUGAGAUGUUGCUUCAAAAUAUCUACAUAAUUUUCCUCCCUCAUGAUGCAAUCUAUAUUUUGAAGUGCAUUAUUCCCUCCUGCAGCAAAGCACCCCCACAACAGGAUGCUGCCACCCCCGUGCUUCACGGUUGGGAUGGUGUUCUUCGGCUUGUAAGCGUCCCCCUUUUUACUCCAAAAAUAACGAUGGUCAUUAUGGCCAAACAGUUCAAUUUUUGUUUCAUCAGACAUUUCUCCAAAAAGUAUGAUCUUUUUACUGGUGGCUUUGGAGUAGUGGCUUCUUCCUUGCUGAGCGGCCUUUCAGGUUAUGUCGAUAUAGGACUCGUUUUACUGUGGAUAUAGAUACGUUUGUACCCGUUUCCUCCAGCAUCUUCACAAGGUCCUUUGCUGUUGUUCUGGGAUUGAUUUGCACUUUUCGCACCAAAGUACGUUCAUCUCAAGGAGACAGAACGCGUCUCCUUCCUGGGCGGUAAUGAUGGCUGCGUCGUCCCAUGGUGUUUAUACUUGCGUACUAUUGUUUGUACAGAUGAACGUGGUACUAUCAGGCGUUUGGAAAUUGCUCCCAAGGAUGAACCAGACUUGUGGAGGUCUACAAUUAUUUUCUGAGGUUUUUGCUGAUUUCUUUUGAUUUUCCCAUGAUGUCAAGCAAAGAGCCACUGAGUUUGAAGGUAGGCCUUGAAAUACAUCCACAGGUACACCUCCAAUUGACUCAAAUGACGUCAAUUAGCCUAUCAAGCUUAUAAAGCCAUGACAUUUUCUGGAAUUUUCCAAGCUGUUUAAAGGCACAGUCAACAUAGUGUAUGUACAUUUCGGACCCACUGGAAUUGUGAUACAGUGAAUUAUAAGUGAAACAAUCUGUCUGUAAACAAUUGUUGGAAAAAUGACUUGUCAUGCACAAAGUAGAUGUCCUACCCGGCUCGCCAAAACUAUAGUUUGUUAACAAGAAAUUUGUGGAGUGGAUGAAAAACGAGUUUUAAUGACUCCAACCUAAGUGUAUGUAAACAUCCGAUUUCAACUGUAUAUUAUCUUAAUGUUUUAUUUAACUAGGCAAGUCAGUUUUGAUCAAAUUCUUAUUUACAAUGACCGUCUACACUGGCCAAACCCAGACGACGCUGGACCAAUUGUGCGCCGCCCUAUGGGACUCCCAAUCACGGCCGUUUGUUAUACAGCCUGGAUUCAAACCAGGGUGUUUGUAGUGACGCCUUUAGCACUGAGAUGCAGUGCCUUAGACCGCUGCGCCACUCGGGAGCCCUAAUGCUAGUCAUGAGAUCACAACUUCGAAGGGCAGAAGUUGUGAAUGUUGCAUCUUUUUGAAUGCCAUAGGUAUGAGGUAUUUGAUUUAGGCAGAGUGGGACAUUAGACAGUUUGAGCAGUUAUACCUUACCGUUAUGCAACAAGUGAAUAGGUAGCUUUUCCCUCUGAGCUUUGAAAUAUGUAUUUACUAUAACUAUAUUGACAUACACUAUGUGAAACAUAGGAGUUGAAUUGAAUCUAAUCAGAUGGAGAAAAAAAUCCUACUCUUUAGGCUGUGAGCUAUAGUAUAUCCAUUACAAUACAUAGCUCUCAUUUCUUAAAAGUCUUGUUGAGGUAUAUGCUUUAUUUGGUGAAUCAAUUACUGAUUAUAACAGCUGGACAGAAACCUACCAACUCUACCUGGCCUAUGAUGGUAGAACGAUACACAUCCUGAUGACAAUUAUAUUUUUUUACAUUUUAACAUUAGCCAGCUAUUGCCGUGGUCAUUUUCAGUAUUGUCCCCCUGAAAAGCUUGAUGCAGUGAAUACUACUGAAUGAUUUAUUUAUUUUUUAUGUCUAUUUAGUUUUUUAAUUUAUUUCAUGUACUUUUGUAAAAUGUUUAAAUUGAAAUUUUAUUUUGCAAUAACCCUUGAGGAAAAACUGAAAUGUACAUAAAUACUUUUGGAAAAAAGAUGUAUUGGAAUAUGAGCUGUGAAGAUCUGCAUUGUAUAUGGAGUGAAUUAGUUUCUGUGACUAUUAAAGCAGCCAAUGAACUAUACAA